RNAcentral lists this long non-coding RNA (622 nucleotides) under Nicotiana benthamiana. RNAcentral's name for it is "long non-coding RNA (NBEN_LNC037630)". Lineage: Eukaryota; Viridiplantae; Streptophyta; Magnoliopsida; Solanales; Solanaceae. The record is from RNAcentral.
UCACUAACAUACGAAUAGGGCUUACCUUACGCAUCCACUUGCAAAGAAAUCUGCUCAAAAUGUCCAAAUUCCCAAGAACGAUUUGCGAGGUUUGAAUACAUUGAGAUGAGACUUCCAGCGUCUCAUCAUCAAUAACGCAAUUGAUAGCAUGAUAACAUAUUUUUAGACAAUCUUUCCACAUGUUAUAACCAUUAACAUCAUCAUGUACAGCAAAAAAUAAAAUAGCCAGAAAUACAGCACAUGCAGAUAAAAUGAAAAGAUUGUGAUACCUUGGCGUAUGCCGUAUAGGCAACUUGAAUUCAGUUGUUAACAAGUUCUGCUGCCAGCAUUUCAAGAAUCAAGAUCCCAACAAAGGGGUAGUACCCUUAUUACUAAAAGUAAGUCUACAGUAGGACAUGCAUAUCCAGAGAUCCCAACAAAGGGGUUGUACCCUUAUUACUAAAAGUAAGUCUACAGUAGGACAUGCAUAUCCAGACAUAACAUAACAUAACGUAGAAAAGUUAUAUGCCCGUGUUGAGAAAGCUUCACUUCCAGUAUUUUACACAAAAUAGAUGUGCAUAAAAUCAAAUGGCCUUGUAAUGAUAAAUGAAAUGAAAACAAAACCAAACAGACGUGCUCAUAC